CUGUUAAUGUAGCUACCGCUUAAGCAAUCCUUUAGCCGCUUAAGCGGCUACAUCAACAACUUUUCUAAGUUAGCAAAUUCGUUGAUCGAUCUCUCAGAAUUCAUUCAAAAUUCUGUGAACAUAACCAAACUAUGCUAAUAGGAUAUUUUGACGUUCUGGACUUAAUAGUGACAUCAAAUUUUUAAGAAAGGAUUAUUUU
This 199-nucleotide long non-coding RNA is filed under the name Capsicum annuum. RNAcentral describes it as "long non-coding RNA (CANN_LNC000905)". Lineage: Eukaryota; Viridiplantae; Streptophyta; Magnoliopsida; Solanales; Solanaceae. The record is from RNAcentral.